GAUGAACGCUAGCUACAGGCUUAACACAUGCAAGUCGAGGGGCAGCAUGACCUAGCAAUAGGUUGAUGGCGACCGGCGCACGGGUGAGUAACACGUAUCCAACCUGCCGAUUAUUCCGGGAUAGCCUUUCGAAAGAAAGAUUAAUACUGGAUAGCAUAACGAGAAGGCAUCUUCUUGUUAUUAAAGAAUUUCGAUAAUCGAUGGGGAUGCGUUCCAUUAGUUUGUUGGCGGGGUAACGGCCCACCAAGACAUCGAUGGAUAGGGGUUCUGAGAGGAAGGUCCCCCACAUUGGAACUGAGACACGGUCCAAACUCCUACGGGAGGCAGCAGUGAGGAAUAUUGGUCAAUGGACGAGAGUCUGAACCAGCCAAGUAGCGUGAAGGAUGACUGCCCUAUGGGUUGUAAACUUCUUUUAGAUGGGAAUAAAGUGGGCCACGUGUGGCUUUUUGUAUGUACCAUACGAAUAAGGAUCGGCUAACUCCGUG
RNAcentral lists this ribosomal RNA (485 nucleotides) under uncultured bacterium. RNAcentral describes it as "partial 16S ribosomal RNA". It matches the Rfam family "Bacterial small subunit ribosomal RNA", at positions 28 to 507 of the family's 1533-position model. The record is from RNAcentral.